RNAcentral lists this ribosomal RNA (497 nucleotides) under uncultured bacterium. RNAcentral describes it as "partial 16S ribosomal RNA". It matches the Rfam family "Bacterial small subunit ribosomal RNA", at positions 28 to 507 of the family's 1533-position model. The record is from RNAcentral.
GAUGAACGCUGGCGGCGUGCCUAAUACAUGCAAGUCGAGCGAACAGGCGAGGAGCUUGCUCCUCUGACGUUAGCGGCGGACGGGUGAGUAACACGUGGAUAACCUACCUAUAAGACUGGGAUAACUUCGGGAAACCGGAGCUAAUACCGGAUAAUAUAUUGAACCGCAUGGUUCAAUAGUGAAAGACGGUUUUGCUGUCACUUAUAGAUGGAUCCGCGCCGCAUUAGCUAGUUGGUAAGGUAACGGCUUACCAAGGCAACGAUGCGUAGCCGACCUGAGAGGGUGAUCGGCCACACUGGAACUGAGACACGGUCCAGACUCCUACGAGAGGCAGCAGUAGGGAAUCUUCCGCAAUGGGCGAAAGCCUGACGGAGCAACGCCGCGUGAGUGAUGAAGGUCUUCGGAUCGUAAAACUCUGUUAUUAGGGAAGAACAAAUGUGUAAGUAACUAUGCACGUCUUGACGGUACCUAAUCAGAAAGCCACGGCUAACUACGUG